Molecule: ribosomal RNA, 497 nt
Filed under: uncultured bacterium
Lineage: Bacteria
Description: partial 16S ribosomal RNA
Rfam family: Bacterial small subunit ribosomal RNA
Source: RNAcentral
GAUGAACGCUGGCGGCGUGCCUAAUACAUGCAAGUCGAGCGAACAGACGAGGAGCUUGCUCCUCUGACGUUAGCGGCGGACGGGUGAGUAACACGUGGAUAACCUACCUAUAAGACUGGGAUAACUUCGGGAAACCGGAGCUAAUACCGGAUAAUAUAUUGAACCGCAUGGUUCAAUAGUGAAAGACGGUUUUGCUGUCACUUAUAGAUGGAUCCGCGCCGCAUUAGCUAGUUGGUAAGGUAACGGCUUACCAAGGCAACGAUGCGUAGCCGACCUGAGAGGGGGAUCGGCCACACUGGAACUGAAACACGGUCCAGACUCCUACGGGAGGCAGCAGUAGGGAAUCUUCCGCAAUGGGCGAAAGCCUGACGGAGCAACGCCGCGUGAGUGAUGAAGGUCUUCGGAUCGUAAAACUCUGUUAUUAGGGAAGAACAAAUGUGUAAGUAACUAUGCACGUCUUGACGGUACCUAAUCAGAAAGCCACGGCUAACUACGUG